This is a ribozyme of Cricetulus griseus (Chinese hamster), 316 nucleotides long. It matches the Rfam family "Nuclear RNase P". From Rfam's summary of the family: Ribonuclease P (RNase P) is a ubiquitous endoribonuclease, found in archaea, bacteria and eukarya as well as chloroplasts and mitochondria. Its best characterised activity is the generation of mature 5'-ends of tRNAs by cleaving the 5'-leader elements of precursor-tRNAs. NCBI's taxonomy places the organism in Eukaryota, Metazoa, Chordata, Mammalia, Rodentia, Cricetidae. The record is from Ensembl.
UGCAGAGGAAGCUCAUCAGUGGGGCAAUUGCUGAGUGCUCAUCACUCCCAGACCCCUGGGAAGGUCUGAGAUUGGGGCCUCCUGUGUCCCUAACCAGGGGCCCUUCCCAAGCGGGAGCUGAGUGGUGCCAAUUGAAGGCAAGGAUGUAACUGCAUCACUAGACCCAAGCUAAAUGAUAAAUGUGUGUUCAUUGGGAAACAAUUACACAGAAAUAUACCAAGAAGUACCAGAGCAUUCCUCUGUUCUCCCUAUCAGAUCUGCUGACCCAGAAAGAGCAUGCCAAGGAAAGCCAUGACUCAAGCUCCUCUCUGCUUCC